Molecule: long non-coding RNA, 656 nt
Organism: Oreochromis niloticus (Nile tilapia)
Lineage: Eukaryota; Metazoa; Chordata; Actinopteri; Cichliformes; Cichlidae
Exons: 2
Source: RefSeq, a predicted model, not a curated record
GAGAGCACUGCUCUGCCGUGGUCCGCUGUGCUCCACGGGCCCUGCUGGAGUUAACAGAGUUACAAGCUGCUGUGGAGGAUUAGUGGGUCAUGGUGCAAUCAGUUUUGGUCUCUGUAGUACACAGCGCCGUAGCUCCGCAAACGCACAUAACGCACACUGCGUAGGGCACCAAAUGGCCGGUAGGGCACCAAAAAAAUCAGGGUCGUAAAAAAAAAAAAAGUAAACCAUAUUAAUACUAUAAAUAUCAUAUGCAUUAAUAUGGUUAAACAAUACAAAAGCAACAUAAAACAAUUUUCCCGAGAAAAGGGGUGAAUCUGCUUUGUGCCCUGUCUCCAGUCUCCUCCUGGUGCCCCCCCCCCACUCCCAGUGGUCUGUUCUAUAAUGCCUCAAUUCGGUAUUGGUAAACACCUGUUUGAACAUGGCCUCGAAACGGCAACAGGAGUCGGGAGCGGAGAAAAGAAAGAAGAAGAGGAAGCGUGAUGAAACUCAGGCGUCGCUUGCCGGGUCAAUGCUUAAAUAUGUUCAAGGAGGAUCUCAAGGACAGGAUGAACCAUCCAGUAGUAGUGCCAUCCCUGGACAUCAACCACCAGCCAUUGUAGACCCUGCAACAAUCCCUAGCCAAGAAGAACAAGAACCAUCAACCACCAGUUCAGGUA